This 70-nucleotide transfer RNA is filed under the name Marmota marmota marmota (Alpine marmot). It matches the Rfam family "tRNA". From Rfam's summary of the family: Transfer RNA (tRNA) molecules are approximately 80 nucleotides in length. RNAcentral also lists the same sequence under 1 other name. Lineage: Eukaryota; Metazoa; Chordata; Mammalia; Rodentia; Sciuridae. The record is from Rfam by way of RNAcentral.
GGUGGUGUAGCUCAGUGGUGGAGCACUUCCUCCACACGUAAGAUCCUGGGUUCAAUAUCCAGCACUGCAA